Molecule: ribosomal RNA, 493 nt
Filed under: uncultured bacterium
Lineage: Bacteria
Description: partial 16S ribosomal RNA
Rfam family: Bacterial small subunit ribosomal RNA
Source: RNAcentral
AUUGAACGCUGGCGGCAUGCUUUACACAUGCAAGUCGAACGGUAACAGGUUAAGCUGACGAGUGGCGAACGGGUGAGUAAUGCAUCGGAACGUGCCCGGUCGUGGGGGAUAACGCAGCGAAAGCUGCGCUAAUACCGCAUACGAUCUGAGGAUGAAAGCGGGGGACCGUAAGGCCUCGCGCGAUCGGAGCGGCCGAUGUCAGAUUAGGUAGUUGGUGGGGUAAAGGCUCACCAAGCCAACGAUCUGUAGCUGGUCUGAGAGGACGACCAGCCACACUGGGACUGAGACACGGCCCAGACUCCUACGGGAGGCAGCGGUGGGGAAUUUUGGACAAUGGGCGAAAGCCUGAUCCAGCAAUGCCGCGUGCAGGAAGAAGGCCUUCGGGUUGUAAACUGCUUUUGUACGGAGCGAAAAGGUCUCCUCUAAUACAGGGGGCUCAUGACGGUACCGUAAGAAUAAGCACCGGCUAACUACGUGCCAGUAGCCGCCGUAA